This 781-nucleotide ribosomal RNA is filed under the name uncultured marine bacterium. RNAcentral describes it as "bacterial SSU rRNA". It matches the Rfam family "Bacterial small subunit ribosomal RNA", at positions 18 to 794 of the family's 1533-position model. The record is from RNAcentral.
CCUGGCUCAGGAUGAACGCUAGCGGCAGGCUUAACACAUGCAAGUCGAGGGGUAACAUUGUAGCUUGCUACAGAUGACGACCGGCGCACGGGUGCGUAACGCGUAUAGAACUUACCUUUUACAGAGGGAUAGCCUUUAGAAAUGAAGAUUAAUACCUCAUAGUAUUAUUGAUUGGCAUCAAUUAAUAAUUAAAGAUUUAUCGGUAAAAGAUGGCUAUGCGUCCUAUUAGCUAGAUGGUAAGGUAAUGGCUUACCAUGGCUACGAUAGGUAGGGGCCCUGAGAGGGGGAUCCCCCACACUGGUACUGAGACACGGACCAGACUCCUACGGGAGGCAGCAGUGAGGAAUAUUGGGCAAUGGAGGUAACUCUGACCCAGCCAUGCCGCGUGCAGGAAGACUGCCCUAUGGGUUGUAAACUGCUUUUAUACAGGAAGAAACACUCGUACGUGUACGAGCUUGACGGUACUGUAAGAAUAAGGACCGGCUAACUCCGUGCCAGCAGCCGCGGUAAUACGGAGGGUCCGAGUGUUAUCCGGAAUCAUUGGGUUUAAAGGGUCCGCAGGCGGUCAAUUAAGUCAGAGGUGAAAUCCCAUAGCUUAACUAUGGAACUGCCUUUGAUACUGGUUGACUUGAGUCAUAUGGAAGUAGAUAGAAUGUGUAGUGUAGCGGUGAAAUGCAUAGAUAUUACACAGAAUACCGAUUGCGAAGGCAGUCUACUACGUAUGUACUGACGCUCAUGGACGAAAGCGUGGGGAGCGGACAGGAUUAGAUACCCUGGUAGU